CAGCUCAAAAGAAAAAAAAAAAAUGAGUAAAUUGGCCUGGAGUCACCUAUUGCUCCAGUAGCAAGUUCCUGUGAAAUGGAAAUUCAGGAACCCACCCUUGUUCUGGGCCAAUCAGGAAGAGCCUGAGGGGAGGAGCCGCUGAGGGCAGGGCCUCUCCCUGCCCCACCUUCCUCUCUCUGGCAAGCCUGCAGGGCAAGUGGCUGAGAAUCAGCCAGAGGGAGGAAAGUGAGGAGGGGUGGACCAGGCCUGGGAGGGUCCUGGGUGGGGGCGCUAAGGAGAGGAGGUGCAGUACAGCCAUGGGGCUCUGGGUGAGAAUUGCAGGGAAGGAUGGGAGGGAGGAAUGGGGACUGGGGUGGGGGCGUGAGGCAGACAGUUCUCCUUUGGGUGACUGUGCUGAGGACAGGGUGGGAGAUGGAGAGCCGGAUGUUCUGGCUUUGCUGCUGUGCAGGACUCAUUCGAGCCCCAGGAGGGUGAGGAGUCCGAGGGCUGCUCCAAUUCGCUGAAGUUUGUCUGUGCACUAGCACCCUGGAAUGAGCAGUCUCCAGGCCAUGAAGACCUUGUCCCUGGUCCUGCUGGUGGCCCUGCUGAGCACGGAGAGAGCUCAGGGUCUGCGCUGCUACGGAUGGUUGGCGGUCUUGGAAGGGGCCUCCUG
This 652-nucleotide long non-coding RNA is filed under the name Pan troglodytes (chimpanzee). Its description in RNAcentral is "long non-coding RNA NONPTRT017296". Lineage: Eukaryota; Metazoa; Chordata; Mammalia; Primates; Hominidae. The record is from RNAcentral.